Molecule: ribosomal RNA, 490 nt
Filed under: uncultured bacterium
Lineage: Bacteria
Description: partial 16S ribosomal RNA
Rfam family: Bacterial small subunit ribosomal RNA
Source: RNAcentral
AUUGAACGCUGGCGGCAGGCCUAACACAUGCAAGUCGAACGGUAACAGGAAGCAGCUUGCUGCUUUGCUGACGAGUGGCGGACGGGUGAGUAAUGUCUGUGAAACUGCCCGAUGGAGGGGGAUAACUACUGGAAACGGUAGCUAAUACCGCAUAACGUCGCAAGACCAAAGAGGGGGACCUUAGGGCCUCUUGCCAUCGGCUGUGCCCAGAUGGGAUUAGCUAGUAGGUGGGGUAACGGCUCACCUAGGCGACGAUCCCUAGCUGGUCUGAGAGGAUGACCAGCCACACUGGAACUGAGACACGGUCCAGACUCCUACGGGAGGCAGCAGUGGGGAAUAUUGCACAAUGGGCGCAAGCCUGAUGCAGCCAUGCCGCGUGUAUGAAGAAGGCCUUCGGGUUGUAAAGUACUUUCAGCGGGGAGGAAGGGAGUAAAGUUAAUACCUUGGCUCAUUGACGUUACCCGCAGAAGAAGCACCGGCUAACUCCGUG